GACGAACGCUGGCGGCGUGCUUAACACAUGCAAGUCGAACGGAAAGGCCCUGCUUUUGUGGGGUGCUCGAGUGGCGAACGGGUGAGUAACACGUGAGUAACCUGCCCUUGACUUUGGGAUAACUUCAGGAAACUGGGGCUAAUACCGGAUAGGAGCUCCUGCUGCAUGGUGGGGGUUGGAAAGUUUCGGCGGUUGGGGAUGGACUCGCGGCUUAUCAGCUUGUUGGUGGGGUAGUGGCUUACCAAGGCUUUGACGGGUAGCCGGCCUGGGAGGGUGACCGGCCACAUUGGGACUGAGAUACGGCCCAGACUCCUACGGGAGGCAGCAGUGGGGAAUAUUGCACAAUGGGCGGAAGCCUGAUGCAGCAACGCCGCGUGCGGGAUGACGGCCUUCGGGUUGUAAACCGCUUUCGCCUGUGACGAGGCGUGAGUGACGGUAAUGGGUAAAGAAGCACCGGCUAACUACGUG
This 468-nucleotide ribosomal RNA is filed under the name uncultured bacterium. Its description in RNAcentral is "partial 16S ribosomal RNA". It matches the Rfam family "Bacterial small subunit ribosomal RNA", at positions 28 to 507 of the family's 1533-position model. The record is from RNAcentral.